RNAcentral lists this ribosomal RNA (460 nucleotides) under uncultured bacterium. Its description in RNAcentral is "partial 16S ribosomal RNA". It matches the Rfam family "Bacterial small subunit ribosomal RNA", at positions 338 to 795 of the family's 1533-position model. The record is from RNAcentral.
CCUACGGGUGGCAGCAGUGAGGAAUAUUGGUCAAUGGACGAGAGUCUGAACCAGCCAAGUAGCGUGAAGGAUGACUGCCCUAUGGGUUGUAAACUUCUUUUAUAUGGGAAUAAAAUGUUCCACGUGUGGGAUUUUGUAUGUACCAUAUGAAUACGGAUCGGCUUACUCCGCGCCAGCAGCCGCGGGACUACGGAGGAUCCGAGCGUUAUCCGGAUUUAUUGGGUUUAAAGGGAGCGUAGGUGGAUUGUUAAGUCAGUUGUGUAAGUUUGGGGCUCAACCGUACAAUUGCAGUUGAUACUGGCAGUCUUGAGUACAGUAGAGGUGGGCGGAAUUCGUGGUGUAGCGGUGAAAUGCUUAGAUAUCACGAAGAACACCGAGUGCGAAGGCAGCUCACUGGACUGCAACUGACACUGAGGCUCGAAAGUGUGGGGAGCAAACAGGAUUAGAUACCCCGGUAGUC